UACGUAGGGUGCAAGCGUUAAUCGGAAUUACUGGGCGUAAAGCGUGCGCAGGCGGUUUUUCAAGACAGAUGUGAAAUCCCCGGGCUUAACCUGGGAAUGGCAUUUGUGACUGGAAGGCUAGAGUGUGUCAGAGGGGGGUAGAAUUCCACGUGUAGCAGUGAAAUGCGUAGAGAUGUGGAGGAAUACCGAUGGCGAAGACAGCCCCCUGGGAUAACACUGACGCUCAUGCACGAAAGCGUGGGGAGCAAACAGG
This 253-nucleotide ribosomal RNA is filed under the name uncultured bacterium. Its description in RNAcentral is "partial 16S ribosomal RNA". It matches the Rfam family "Bacterial small subunit ribosomal RNA", at positions 524 to 776 of the family's 1533-position model. The record is from RNAcentral.